GAUGAACGCUGGCGGUAUGCUUAACACAUGCAAGUCGAACGAAAUCUUCGGAUUUAGUGGCGGACGGGUGAGUAACGCGUGAGAAUCUGGCCUUGGGUUCGGGACAACCACUGGAAACGGUGGCUAAUACCGGAUGUGCAGAGAUGCAAAAGAUUAAUUGCCUGAGGAUGAGCUCGCGUCUGAUUAGCUAGUUGGUGGGGUAAAGGCCUACCAAGGCGGCGAUCAGUAGCUGGUCUGAGAGGACGAUCAGCCACACUGGGACUGAGACACGGCCCAGACUCCUACGGGAGGCAGCAGUGGGGAAUUUUCCGCAAUGGGCGAAAGCCUGACGGAGCAAUACCGCGUGAGGGAGGAAGGCUCUUGGGUUGUAAACCUCUUUUCUCAGGGAAGAACAAAAUGACGGUACCUGAGGAAUAAGCAUCGGCUAACUCCGUGCCAGCAGCCGCGGUAAUACGGAGGAUGCAAGCGUUAUCCGGAAUGAUUGGGCGUAAAGCGUCCGCAGGUGGCUGUGUAAGUCUGCUGUUAAAGAGUCUAGCUCAACUAGAUACAAGCAGUGGAAACUACACGGCUAGAGUACGUUCGGGGCAGAGGGAAUUCCUGGUGUAGCGGUGAAAUGCGUAGAGAUCAGGAAGAACACCGGUGGCGAAGGCGCUCUGCUAGGCCGUAACUGACACUGAGGGACGAAAGCUAGGGGAGCGAAUGGGAUUAGAUACCCCAGUAGUCCUAGCCGUAAACGAUGGAUACUAGGCGUGGCUUGUAUCGACCCGAGCCGUGCCGUAGCUAACGCGUUAAGAUCCCGCCUGGGGACGUACGCCGGCAACGGUGAAACUCAAAGGAAUUGACGGGGGUCCGCACAAGCGGUGGAGUAUGUGGUUUAAUUGGAUGCAACGUGAAGAACCUUACCAAGGCUUGACAUGUCGCGAAUCUUCUCGAAAGGGAAGAGUGCCUUAGGGAGCGCGAACACAGGUGGUGCAUGGCUGUCGUCAGCUCGUGUCGAGAGAUGUUGGGUUAAGUCCCGCAACGAGCGCAACCCUCGUUUUUAGUUGCCAGCAUUAAGUUGGGCACUCUAGAGAGACUGCCGGUGACAAACCGGAGGAAGGUGGGGAUGACGUCAAGUCAGCAUGCCCCUUACGCCUUGGGCUACACACGUACUACAAUGCUCCGGACAGAGGGCAGCAAGCAUGCGAAUGCAAGCAAAUCCCGUAAACCGGAGCUCAGUUCAGAUCGCAGGCUGCAACUCGCCUGCGUGAAGGAGGAAUCGCUAGUAAUUGCAGGUCAGCAUACUGCAGUGAAUUCGUUCCCGGGCCU
This 1308-nucleotide ribosomal RNA is filed under the name uncultured Nostocales cyanobacterium. Its description in RNAcentral is "bacterial SSU rRNA". It matches the Rfam family "Bacterial small subunit ribosomal RNA", at positions 28 to 1381 of the family's 1533-position model. The record is from RNAcentral. Lineage: Bacteria; Bacillati; Cyanobacteriota; Cyanophyceae; Nostocales.